This 472-nucleotide ribosomal RNA is filed under the name uncultured bacterium. RNAcentral's name for it is "partial 16S ribosomal RNA". It matches the Rfam family "Bacterial small subunit ribosomal RNA", at positions 28 to 507 of the family's 1533-position model. The record is from RNAcentral.
GACGAACGCUGGCGGCGUGCUUAACACAUGCAAGUCGAACGCUGAAGCUUGGUGCUUGCACUGGGUGGAUGAGUGGCGAACGGGUGAGUAAUACGUGAGUAACCUGCCCUUGACUCUGGGAUAAGCCUGGGAAACUGGGUCUAAUACUGGAUACGACAUGUCACCGCAUGGUGGUGUGUGGAAAGGGUUUUACUGGUUUUGGAUGGGCUCACGGCCUAUCAGCUUGUUGGUGGGGUAAUGGCUCACCAAGGCGACGACGGGUAGCCGGCCUGAGAGGGUGACCGGCCACACUGGGCCUGAGACACGGCCCAGACUCCUACGGGAGGCAGCAGUGGGGAAUAUUGCACAAUGGGCGGAAGCCUGAUGCAGCGACGCCGCGUGAGGGAUGACGGCCUUCGGGUUGUAAACCUCUUUCAGCACGGAAGAAGCGAAAGUGACGGUACGCGCAGAAGAAGCGCCGGCUAACUACGUG